AAUAGAUACCCAGGUAGUCCACGCCGUAAACGUUGGGCGCUAGAUGUGGGGACCUUUCCACGGUUUCCGUGUCGUAGCUAACGCAUUAAGCGCCCCGCCUGGGGAGUACGGCCGCAAGGCUAAAACUCAAAGGAAUUGACGGGGGCCCGCACAAGCGGCGGAGCAUGCGGAUUAAUUCGAUGCAACGCGAAGAACCUUACCAAGGCUUGACAUACACGAGAACGGGCCAGAAAUGGUCAACUCUUUGGACACUCGUGAACAGGUGGUGCAUGGUUGUCGUCAGCUCGUGUCGUGAGAUGUUGGGUUAAGUCCCGCAACGAGCGCAACCCUCGUCGCAUGUUGCCAGCACGUUAUGGUGGGGACUCAUGUGAGACUGCCGGGGUCAACUCGGAGGAAGGUGGGGAUGACGUCAAAUCAUCAUGCCCCUUAUGUCUUGGGCUUCACGCAUGCUACAAUGGCCGGUACAAAGGGCUGCGAUGUCGUAAGGCGGAGCGAAUCCCAAAAAGCCGGUCUCAGUUCGGAUUGAGGUCUGCAAC
Molecule: ribosomal RNA, 536 nt
Filed under: uncultured bacterium
Lineage: Bacteria
Description: bacterial SSU rRNA
Rfam family: Bacterial small subunit ribosomal RNA
Source: RNAcentral